UACAGAGGGAGCAAGCGUUGUUCGGAAUUACUGGGCGUAAAGGGCGCGUAGGCGGUUCGAUAAGUCCCGUGUGAAAUCCCUCGGCUCAACUGAGGAAUUGCACGGGAAACUGACGGGCUUGAGUUCGGGAGAGGGAAGCGGAAUUCCGGGUGUAGCGGUGAAAUGCGUAGAUAUCUGGAGGAAUACCGGUGGCGAAGGCGGCGUUCUGGACCAUUACUGACACUGAAUCGCGAAAGCUAGGGGAGCAAACAGG
Molecule: ribosomal RNA, 253 nt
Filed under: uncultured bacterium
Lineage: Bacteria
Description: partial 16S ribosomal RNA
Rfam family: Bacterial small subunit ribosomal RNA
Source: RNAcentral